AGAGUUUGAUCCUGGCUCAGGAUGAACGCUGGCGGCGUGCCUAACACAUGCAAGUCGAGCGAGAAAUUCUUUAAUGAAUCUUCGGACGAUUUAAAGAAUGGAAAGCGGCGGACGGGUGAGUAACGCGUAGGCAACCUGCCCCAUACAGAGGGAUAGCAUUUGGAAACGAAUAUUAAUACCUCAUAAUGCCGAGUAGCCACAUGGCAACAUGGCCAAAGAUUUAUCGGUAUGGGAUGGGCCUGCGUCUGAUUAGCUAGUUGGUGAGGUAACGGCUCACCAAGGCGACGAUCAGUAGCCGACCUGAGAGGGUGAUCGGCCACAUUGGAACUGAGACACGGUCCAAACUCCUACGGGAGGCAGCAGUGGGGAAUAUUGCACAAUGGGGGAAACCCUGAUGCAGCAACGCCGCGUGAGCGAUGAAGGCCUUUGGGUCGUAAAGCUCUGUCCUUGGGGAAGAAUUAAUGACGGUACCCUUGGAGGAAGCCCCGGCUAACUCCGUGCCAGCAGCCGCGGUAAUACGGAGGGGGCAAGCGUUAUCCGGAAUUAUUGGGCGUAAAGGGUACGUAGGUGGUUUACCAAGCGCAGGGUUUAAGGCAAUGGCUCAACCAUUGUUCGCCCUGCGAACUGGCAGACUUGAGUGCAGGAGAGGAAAGCGGAAUUCCUAGUGUAGCGGUGAAAUGCGUAGAUAUUAGGAGGAACACCAGUGGCGAAGGCGGCUUUCUGGACUGUAACUGACACUGAGGUACGAAAGCGUGGGGAGCAAGCAGGAUUAGAUACCCUGGUAGUCCACGCCGUAAACGAUGAGCACUAGGUGUCGGGGUCGCAAGACUUCGGUGCCGCAGUUAACGCAUUAAGUGCUCCGCCUGGGGAGUACGCACGCAAGUGUGAAACUCAAAGGAAUUGACGGGGACCCGCACAAGCAGCGGAGCAUGUGGUUUAAUUCGAAGCAACGCGAAGAACCUUACCAGGUCUUGACAUCCUGCUGACCGGUCAGUAACGUGGCCUUUUCUUCGGAACAGCAGAGACAGGUGGUGCAUGGUUGUCGUCAGCUCGUGUCGUGAGAUGUUGGGUUAAGUCCCGCAACGAGCGCAACCCUUAUCUUCAGUAGCCAGCGGAUGAAGCCGGGCACUCUGGAGAGACUGCCGGGGACAACCCGGAGGAAGGUGGGGAUGACGUCAAAUCAUCAUGCCCCUUAUGAUCUGGGCUACACACGUGCUACAAUGGUGGGAACAAAGUGACGCAAAGGAGCGAUCCGGAGCCAACCACAAAAAAUCCAUCCCAGUUCGGAUUGUAGUCUGCAACUCGACUGCAUGAAGCUGGAAUCGCUAGUAAUCGCGAAUCAGAAUGUCGCGGUGAAUACGUUCCCGGGUCUUGUACACACCGCCCGUCA
This 1390-nucleotide ribosomal RNA is filed under the name uncultured bacterium. RNAcentral's name for it is "bacterial SSU rRNA". It matches the Rfam family "Bacterial small subunit ribosomal RNA". The record is from RNAcentral.